CGAGCCGAUUGGCCGGGCCGCCGUGACGUCACGGGCCGCCGCGGGUUCGCCCCGAACAAAAGAGAUGCUGAUGGCCCGCCAGGCCCGGGGCAGGGAACUUUUUUUUGGUUUCCUUUGCGGUCGUCGAACUUUCUUAGCGGUUGGGGGCAGGGAUGGGAAAGCGGCUGGACGGGCAGCCGGCGAGGACUGGGAGCGGCUGGAGUUGCCAGACGUGGAGGACUGCAAACCUCCCUCUCUGUACUUUUUUUUUUUUUUUUUAAUUUGGGGGGUGGGGUGUUUGACGACAUUGCGUCACCUCUAAAAAAAAAAAAAAAAAUCUCUGCUCGCCGGACUUUGUGGGGAGGAAAACCCACAAAGCAGCCAGCACCUCGCGGCUGCAGGAGCCCAGACUUGGCGGCCCGGGCGGGGCCGGCUGCGCGCCUUUGCCUGUCUCGGCUGCAGCGCGCCAGCUCCGGACCCCCUUGCUGCGCUGCCUCGCAUCCCGUUCAGACUUCUGGCCUUGUGCAGCCUGUACCAGCCCAGAGCUGGGCAGGACUGGCCGGGGCGGGGGACUUAGGGCGAAAAGUGAUUUUUUCGUUAAUGAGCGUCUACUAAGUACUCCGAGACUUUCCGGGCGCUUUGCAGAUCUGGGGAAACUCCGAGGACAAACUUUAUUUUCAAAGGACUAAGUUUCUUUUUUCAGAUAUGCAAGAAAGUCUUCCUUUCUUGCGGAUGGGAUGCCCUUUGCACUGGAAGAGAGAUCAGUAGUGAGCGCCCCAGAACUGCAAAGUCGGGCCGACAGUGAAGAGGGAGAAACCUUCGUGUCCUUAACACGACAGCUGUGCCACUCACGCACAAAGCUGGAUAUUUUAAUCACCAAAAACCGAUAGGGAGAGGGCUGUCUUUCUCUCACAGUCUUAAUCUACAGCCCCACCCUUCCUGUAUUUGGCGUUUUCUUAUUCAAAGAUUUCAGUCUGCUUGCAGAAUUCCGCACCCUUCCCUCCCCUGCGGCCAAACUUUUGACAUUGCUAUUGUUACUUGCCUCAAGAAUUUAGAAAAUUCCCAUUUAAUAUUCCCGUUUUUCCCUCUAAACUCAGAAAGUGGAAGGGGAAUCGAAGGAGUCUCUGGUGUUUAGCAGCUCAACACUUCGGUCCUUUUCAGACAAACACAUGCCAAGGUUUUGAAAAAAAGAAGUCCAAGACUUUCACGGUAAUCCUCACACCCUUAGAGGCUCCGAGGUUCCCUUUGCUUUGAGAACAAAUUAAAACUGCUAACAAAAUAUUUUAUUUUUGCAAAACGCUUUUCUCCAAAAGUUCCGCCUUUAGUAACUGCUACAGGGCUAAUUUGAACUCUGUGGACUAUAAAAUCGCCAGCACUUUAAAGACACGAAACUAACAUUUGUUUGUGUUGAUGCAAGGAAUUAAAAACAACCACAGCAAAUAUCAGUUCUCUGCAAGUGGUGUAAAAUAACUCGAGGAAUCUUUGUGACCAGCACUCCAAGUUGAAAGGGUGCCACAGAUUUCCCCCAAGUUAGAAUCCUGUCUGGGUUAGAGUUUUUUUGGCAUUUCUCAUCAUCACUUGACAAAACAGUUUUCUCUUUCAAAUAUAAAAGGGCUCCUUGUAAAAUACUUAGCUUCUGGGAAGCAGGGUGUACCUUCCCAAGGGGAGGGAGCCUGGAACUCAAGAUGUAAGCAAGAUAAACCCAAACCUAAAAUACACGGAUUCUGGAGGAAGGAAAUAAGUGGUUAGAAAAGUAUUUUGUCGAAUCAAAAACAUGAUAAUUUGAUAUAUUUACUGUACUCAAAAUACAUUAGAAUAAUAUACCUAUGAGAGCUUGGCCACCUUACCUUUGAGAACCAAUUUUUGUAUUUCCAUGCUGUUGAUACACAGUUUUUCUAAGGAAAUUGAAAACCUCUAAUCUCACAAGCAAACCUAUAAUAACAUUUGACUGAAUUUUAUAGGAAUGCUUAGGAGUUAACCCUUUCACUUGAAAGUUGCUUUUUUUUUUGUUUUAUUUUGUUUUAAAUUUCGGUGAUGGUGACAUUAUCUUAGUUAAGAUAACAGGACUUGUUACAGUAUUCUUUCAUUAUCAAAACCCUUUGUAACAAGUCUGUUAUCUCCAACUGGAAGAUAAUUAAAUCUUACAGCCCACAUUGUCUAGUUCAACAGAUGUAUUUGCUGUCCUAGAUUCCCCUGGACUCCUUGGAGAUUUCUGAAGAGCACUAUGCAGAGUGGAUAUCUUACUCAGUAAGUGUCCUCCAACAUCCAGGACAUGCCCCUUUCAUUUCUUUCUUUUUAAGGGAAAAAAAAAUCUCAAUUUGGGUAGAGAAAUAUGACAAAAACAAAACAACAACAACAACAAAAAGCAAAAAUCUAUAGACAGAAAGUAGAUUUGUGGGUACCCAGGACUGCAACUGGGAAAAGGAAUUAACUAUGAACACCCACAAAGGAAUCUUAUUGAAGUGAUGGAAAUAAAUGUUUCUAAAACUAGAUUGUGGUCGUGACAGUACAAUUCAGUAAAGUUCCUAAAAAUCAAAGUUCUGAGCUUUGCUGUAUGCGAAUUAUACUUGAAAAAAGUUGAAGUUAAGAAGUUAGACGUCAUUUCCUGAUUUUGUUUCAAGGACUCGCAGUAACAUUCACAAGCAUCUUCAUUCUUGGAGGAUUUCUCACAUCAAAUACUGUACAGCAGAGGGUUUUCUUCUACACAGGUGACUCUUUGGAGAGCCUAGAAGUCAUGCAAUGGCGUGUGUGUUGCAGAACAAGUGUUCAUUUAGCACUGGGCUUUAUAUCUUCUUGGAAUUACCACAGUAGUGAGAUUUUCCCAGCUCUUCAGAGAGUUUAAAUUUUCUGAAACAAAUAGAAGCACAUAUAUUUGUGUGUAUGUGUGUGCAUGUGUGUGUGUGCACGUGUAUGUGUGUAGAUAAGGGGGAUGAUUUGGAUAUUUUGUUAUUGCAGAGGAUCAGAGGAAAAUGAACAAGCACUGUUAACUGAAUUACGGCCUGUGCAUUGACUUUAUUCACAUUUUCAACUUGAAGACUGAAGAUAGACAUGUUUGUUUGCGCACAAAAAAUAAUUUGUGGGAUCUAUUCAUUUAGAAAUAUUAAAUAUUAAACAAUUUAAGGAAUACGGGUUUUUUUUUGUUGUUGUUGUUGAUUUGUUUUGUUGGGGGGGGGGCAAAGUCUCAUUGUAUAGUUUAGGUUGCCCGGAACUCACUAGGUAGCCCAGGCUGGCCUCAAACUCACGGUGCUCAGCUUCCCAAACACAAGGAUUAUAGGCAUGCACUGCCACACCCAGCAAAGUUUUAGGAGGCAAAAUUUUUCCCAAGUGAAAAAUGUGUUUUCUUGAAGACUCAUAAACAUAAUAUAGAUAACAUUCCUCUUAAACAAAUUCCUUGUCUUUAGGGAAAAAAAAUCUUAUCUAUGGUAAGAAAUAACUUCUCGACCCGAAAGGUUACAUUUAGAAAAUAGUAGGUUUGUUUUCCUGAAAGCCUUUCAUUUUUAUGCUGGUCUUAAUCUCUUUCAGUCCCACUAGGGGGAGGUCAUUGACAGAGUGACCUCUGGAACCUUCUAUGGUGCUUAAGAUCCUGGGGCAUAUUUUAUGAAUUUCAUGGUCUUCUAUAGGUAGGUUGGAUGGAAAUAAACCGCAGUAGUUUCUAUUUACUUUUGUUUAAUCUUAUGAUGUGAAACCCUUCCUUUCUUCUUUCUUGAAAAUGACUAGAUUUGCAAGAAUGCUAAUUAUUAAGCACAGGUGUGAGACGGAAAAAUAAGCUGCCAGGUGGGGGUCACCCUCCUGGUAGAACUCUGAGCAGUUUUUCUAGAAUUGACAAUGUGUCUGCAACCAGGGAGAAGAUUCUUGAUAAGGGCUUUAAAUUAUGCCAUGAAAGCUAGCUAGUUUUCACUUAAUAAGCAUUUUGCUUAUAUUUUGUUACUUUAUUUUUUUAAUCAGCACUUUUAAAAGGCUUAAUCUGUGCUUUUUGCUUCUUAAUAGGAAUACUCUUUUCUCAUUAGAGUGAUGUAACUCCCAGAAGGUUUUGCAAAGGAGACUGAUUUAUCCAGUAAAAUGGAAGUAACUACUGUGUAGCUAGAGCAUUUUGCCAAAAGCAUGUUGGAGGACGGUUCUAACUCCCAAGAUAGGCAGUAUUUUGUUGGGGAAUUUUUAUUUUUGUGUGUUGUUGCUCUUUUUUCAAAAUUUUCUUUAUGUUGGUGAGACUAUUUCUAAUUUUGCUUUGCUUUAUGCCAACAUCUUAUUUUGAAAGGCUGAAUAAUUUUAUUUGAUUGAAACAUUUCCAAUAUUUAUUUUCUGUCCUUUGUAUAUUCACGUACUAUAAAUAUUUCAUAUAUAGCUUGUCUGCAAGGUUGAUUCACUUAAAAGUAACCAUAAACAUUAUAUUUUAAAUUAGCUUUUAUAUUUACAAUCGAUUAUUUUGAUAUAGGUAGUCAAUAGCAAGUCUAAUUAAUUAUAAAAAAUUAAAAACAUUUCACUGAGCUAUAAAAUGAUGAUAUGAAUAUAAUCACUCAUGUCUAAACUGAGUCAUUUUCAAGAUGAAUUUUUAUAUUCUUUCAUUAGCUAUGAAAAUUUUAUUGAGAUAAAAUAGACAUUUAAAAUCUUUACUGUUGGGCCAGGGAUUUGGCGUAGCAGCAUAAGAAUCUGCCUGGUUGGGGCUGGGGAUUUAGCUCAGCGGCAUAAGCGCCUGCCUUAAGCAGGCAGUCGUGAGUUCGAUCCCUGGUACGGAUAAAAAAUGAAAAAGACAAAAAAAAAAAAUUAAAAAAAAAAGAAUCUGCCUGGCGAGUGCGCAGUUGUGAGUUAGAUCCCCAUUACCAAAAAACAGUAUUAAAAAUCAUUACUAUCUUUUUUAUUUUAUUUUUGACUUUUUGAGAUAAGGUUUUCACAUGUAGUUCAGAAUGAUGUCAAACUCACUAUGUAGCCCAGGCUGUCCUAAAAUUUACAGCGAUCCUUCUGCCUCUGCCUCCCAAGUGCACCACCACGCUCAGCUUCUAACGUUACUACUAUUUUAAACAUGAAAAAUGAAGGCACUGCUAACAUUCACACAUAGGAUCACAAAAAUUUCAAUAUUUGAACAACAAUAAUUAGAUACCUAGAUUUUCUUAAGCACUGCAUCUGAGCCAAACCAAAUACUAAGAGCUUCGUAUGUAUAUUUUUUAUUCAACUCUCAACAACUCCUGCAGGUAAACACCGUUAUCAUCUACCUCAUCCUUGCAAACGAAGACAUAAUGGCUUAGAAAAAUCACCAGAAUGAAGUUCACUGAGUCACCAGCAUUGCAGAGCUGUGUUAUCACUAAAUAAUCUCCUUUGGAAUGACCUAUGGGCAAAGCAACUGGCUAUGGGAUUCUGUUUUUGUGUUUUUAAAUUUUAUUUAUUUAUUUAGGCUGUUGGGUUUUGGAGGUAGCUUUUGCAACAGGAGAUUAAUUCAUUUUAAAAAUGUCACCCAUACCAAUUUCAACCUAUUGUAAUAGGACCAUUCUUUGGUGAACCCAUUUAAUUAUAGGCAAAAAAAUCUGGAGGCUUUUUGGUGUGGAGGGAGAGGGGUGUCGGGGUGGAAUCUAGGUCCUUACACAUGCUAAGCACAUAUUCUACCUUACAGCCACACCCCGAGUCAAAUGCACAAGAUGUUUGCCAGGAACUUUCCACCAGACUGCAGGGUUGGCGGGGCCAAGUCUCAGUUUGCUUCCUCUGAGUGCCCAGCACUGAGUGCAGCAUGCCCUGGGGCAAGUGCUUAGCAAAUGUUGACCGAAUGAGUGAAGGAAGGAAGGGCAGAUGGCGAACAUGAGGAUUCACUGUGACCGUCCAGCCAAGUGCUCUGCAUACGAUAUUUUGUUUUAUCUCCAAAGCGACUGCCAGAAAUAGAUAUUAAUGGCCUCAUUUUACUCUCUAAGGCUCUGAGACUUUAAAGAUGGUUUCUAAACUUAUCCAGAGAGAGAAACACAGAGCAGGAAUUUAAAUUAAGAUCCCUGACACAAAGGCUUUAACCAAGACAUACACGGCUUUCCCCAAAGAGAUUCUGCCCUGAGUAAGUUAUAAGAACUGUGAGGAAAUUCUCUGGUGAUCCCAUUUUAUCUUCCUCCGGAUUUUCAGGCUGUGCGCUGGGCCCUGUGCCCGAGCCUUUGCACGGUCCCGCUAGCUCCUCUGCUUUCUGGAGGGCAGAUGGGCCAGCGUGGGGCUGCUUCCACUUCAGCCUUCUGAGUUAGGGCGCAGUUCUGGUAGUAGCUGUCUCCCCCUAGUGGGGAGCACAAUACUGCCCCAAGGGGGGGAAAUUGAUGGGGUGGGGCUGAUGGAGUAAAGAUGUCUGGAAUGCAGUUUUUGUUUUAAUCUCAAAUGUAUCUGAUAAAAAUCUUAUUACUUAGUUGUUUAUCAAAUCAAAGUUAUUCUGCAGAUAGGAUGGAGUGAGAAAUAAUUUUUUUUAAGGAAGGAAUUUGCUUGAUGACUUCUGCGGGGCUCCUUUUCCUCCAGGCUAAGGCUCUCAGGGGCGCCCUCUUAAAGGGGUGACAAAAUGUCCUUCUCUGCUACUCCCGGGAGCCUUGACACCGCUCCUGAGUCCCUCAUUAGAGAACACAGUCAGUCUCCUGGUGGAAAUCAUUGCAUUCUGUUUCCUGUCAAAACCCUGCCGAUCCAGAUCCCUGACGGCCUCCAGUCACCACAGAGUUACUCACCCAAAUCGUGGCUUUAACUCUUGCCUGCCAGCACGGUGGAUGUAGAGCACAAGAAAUUCUUUUUCCAAAUUUGGCAAAUAAUAUUAUGUAGUGGUUUCCCUGUGUAUCUCUCAUGUCGCGAAUGUUCUUGUUCUUUAUUUUCUGUUAAUUCUGUGCCCUUCUACCCCUGAGUUUUACCCAGAAUAAAAUGCUCUGACCCAGGGAUCCUCAAAUUACAGAAAAGAAACUAGGAUUUGAGUUUUAAGUGUAUGGUGUUCGUCUAGUCAUCCUAACCACCUUGGUAAUAGUGAGACGAUCCACCAAGAAAUUUCGUUCUUGCAGGGAACCUGGGAUCAGCAUCUCUAUCAUCACGAAAAACAGUUUAUGUUUAGAAAUGCUUCAGAAAACCACAAAGGUCUUAUAUUUUGGUAUGAAAUGUGAAUUUUGCUUUUCAAUUCACUUUAGAUGCUGAAAUAAUCUAGCUGAGGGCUGAUGAAGUCAAAGAAAGUUCACUGAGAUCUAUUCUACUUCAACAUGCUUGCAAAUUCCCAGGCAUUGCCAAUAUUUAGUGUAGAAAAUUUCUUAAGUAGAAAUAAACACAGCUUUAGACAGCCCUGGUGGACUAGCACCGUUUAUUCCGUUUAGAGACUCUCCUCAGAAAGCAGACAAACAUCUGCCAUAUCUUUAAUCUUACAGCACACUGUAAUGUUUCAGAGCAUAACAGUUUCAUGCAGUGCCUGGAAAUCCUAAUGUUUUGGACAUUUUUCCAUUUACAUUAGUCAUCUUUUGAAAACUAGAGAAUCCAUUUAUUUUGGAGUUGUGUUGGAAUUCAAAAGUAAUUAUACUGUCUUUAUUAGUCAUGUGUGAGCAAUAAUUUUUCUAUAAUUCAUCUUAAAGAUAUUUGAUUAUUUAUCCUUUAUUGCACAUUUUUGUCAGUUUAUACAACAUUCUGAAAGAUUCAUGAUCGUUUACCAACUUAAGCAUUAAGUUAAUCUUCCCAUUUUCUUUGUCCAGUCAAAUUUUAAAGCAAAAUAAUACAAAUAUUUGUGGGCUCAUAUUAUAAACAUUUUAGUUGAGAAAAAUAAUGUAAAUAUGGCACGGAACUCUAAUUAGAACACAAAUAUUGUUCUGAAAUUUUUUUUCUCUAAGCAACUGAUGCUUUCAACUGAGGCCUACAAAAUGUUAAAUACUUCUCCUUAUCAAUGAAAAUAUUGCCCUUUUAAUUAUUUUUUUUAAUGGCAGGCUUUUAAUUUUGUACUGACUAAAACUGAUCAUUGUUGCCACUUAAACAGCCUACUUAGAUAUUUUGUCAAAUGGUAACGUGAGCUCAGGUCAAGAUGAGUCAUUUGGAGGGAACAUGAUUAGAGCAUUAAAUUUAAAAAACAUGCAUAUACUAUUGUCUCUAAAAUACGCCCUUCAGCUUUUAACAACUUUUUGGCGGUAUAAUUGCAUACAGUAAAGUAAGGUUGUGCAGUUUGGCAGGUGUUGCCGCAGCGACACAUCCUAGAACUUGAUUAGCACAGUUAGGGGAGUGACAUGUCCAUCUCCCCCGAAAUUUUGUUGUGUUUUUAGUAGCUCUUUCAUCUUGCUUUUCCUAUCUUCACACAGUUGCUACUCUGUUUUCUGACACUAUGGAUUAGUUUGCACUUAUGAAAUAAAGCACUAUAAACUCAUUCACUGUGUAACUCAUUAUAUAUACUCUGUAAUUAUUUUGAAAUUCAUCUCUGCUUCUUACAUUAAUAGUGCAUCUUUGGAAUGAAGAACACUUUCUUUUUUUUUAAAUAAAUACUAGGGGGGAAAUGGCCAGAUCACAGUGCAGGUGAGUCUUCAGCAUCUUAAGAAGCCUGUUUUCCUAACUGGGUUGCAUCGUUUUGUAUUCACACCAGCAGUGUCUGUGCCUGGCCCCCCAGUUCCUUCAUUUCCCCAUCCACACUCAGUGUAGCUGUUUCCUGCCAGACGGUGAGUGUGUUCUCUGACUCCUCUCAGCAGUCCGUGAGAAUCUCCCCUCAGGUUUCAGCAAUUAAAUUAUAUACUGUGUGAUCAAAUGAUGCGAUAAAUAUUUUUAAUGUGAUAAAUGUUUAAAUGUUUACAAAUCUCUUAAGCAAAAUGCUCAGCCUCAGUUCAGACAUACGUUCCUGCCACUUUCUAAACAGUUCUGGAAGUCUCAUUUCAUGUCUUUAGUUGAACCGUCAUGCCUGCUGUGCUGACCUGAAUCGACUUGAAACAUUUACCUUUCGUGGUCAUUUUAACUUUGGGGAAGAGCCAGAAAUCAGAUUAUGCCAAAUCCUGUGAAUAAGUAUUGGAAGUCCUUCAGUGACACUGCCUUCAUUCCUGUGAGGGAGACUCCAUCGCCACGCACAUAACUGGGGUUCAUCAAGGAAAAUGAAGGGAGCUGCCCACACCAUUCUCCAUGACAAAGGUGACACCCACUGUGUGCCGCUGUCCUGCAUGGCACAGCCUGCCAGUAAUUAGGUAUAAACAUAGAAAUAGUUCUCAUCACAGGUGGAAGAAGUGAACGUCUCAGCUCUGAGUUCAGUUCCACUAAUAGAAGUGCAGACAUAGAAGACACCCAGUUUUUAACCAUGCAGAUGAUGAAAAGACCACAUGAAAAUCUGAGAUCUAAAUCACCAUGAAUACCAGAACUUGACCACUUACCUGAGCCAAUCAUUUUGAAAUUGUGGCAUGCGAUGAAAAUGCACUUCCUUAUUCAUGAAGCCUCUGUGUUGUUUGGUACAGCACCCCAACUUUUACAGUGUGCCCAUCUCUACCUUCCUUAGAUACUGAUUUUUUUUGAGGUGCUUUGUUUCUGCUGUCUGUGCUUUGCUUAAUAACUUUUCAGGGAUAUUUGCAAUUCUGCAUCAGAGUUUUAGCUCUUUUCCCUUCCUAUAUACUUGGAGAAUUUUGGCUUUCCUUUGGAGAAUUUCUUUAAUAUUAGCAUUUAUCAAUAAAUAAUAAUUUAAGUCAUCCAUUAAAUAUUUUUGAGCAACUCCUCACAGCCAAGUUAUGGGUUGAAGACUUCUCUCAAAUUCAUAAUCUGAAAUCCUAACUCCAUGAGCCUCACAAUGUGACCUUAUUUGGAGACAGGACCUUUAAAGACAUAAUUAAGUUAAAACAACUUUAUUAGGAUGAGCCCUAACUCAGCGUGACUGAUAAUCUUGUAAAAUGGAGCAUUUGAAGAUAGAUAUUUACACGGGCCAAAUGCCAUGUAAAGAGGAAAGCAAAGAUAAAAAUGAUGAAUGCAUAGCCCAAGAACUGCCAAAGAUCACCAGUGAACCACCAGAAGCCAGAGAAGAACACAGAUUUUCUCACGACCCUCAGAUACUUUCAUUGUGAAUGUCCAGUUUCCAGAACUGUAAGUCAAUAAAUUUCUGUUGUUUUUAGGCACAGAACACUUUGUUAUGGCAACCCUAGCAACCGAUCCAAACACCUAGAGUACUAAAAUAAGAAGAAUGUUAGCAAUGAAAUCUGGUUAUCCAGCAUGAGGGCAUAAGAGGCUCAGGAGCAGACUUCUAGCAAAAGGGAUGCAAAGCUGAAGAAUCUGGUCCAUGCUGCUUCUUUCAGAUGUUUGUGUGUUUGGCGUUGUGGACAGAAGACAGACAUAGGCAAGAGGGAGGCCUUGGGCGAGGGAUAAACUCAGUGGCACGGCACCUGCCUGGCAAGUGCAAGGUCUUGAGUUUGAUUCCCAGUACCAAAUUAGAAAAAGAAAAAAAAAGAGGUAGGCUUGAAUUUUAAGGAAAAUAAAAUUUAGUAAUUCAUUGGCAGGGAUUAAAAAGUUCAAUUACUUACCAUUGGCAAGUAUAUCGGUUGGAAAAAUGUAUACGUGUGCACAGAGAGUAGUGCAAGUUAGUGCAAUAUCUAUGUAGGACAUUUUAGAAAUAUUUACAGUGCACAUGCCUAGAAGAUGAUAAACCAAACACAUGCAUUUCCACUAUACUUCCCUGAAGUCACAGGUUAUGAGAGUUGAGGACUGAAGGCCAUAUAAAACCCACAAAAAUAAUAAAAUAGAAAAAACAGCAAUACAAUUUUGGAGACGGAAAGCAGAUAGAGAAGCAUUCAUCGAAGUCCCAGAAGCAGUGUCUGAAAGCCAAUAAGUAGUAAGCUGUGUGAUCGACAGUCAAGCAACCCUGAAAGUUUCAACCACAGAAGGCAUCAGGUACCACGGAAGGUAUAGAAUAAGGUGGGCUAAGAGGUGUUUGAAAAAUGUUUCCAUUGGGACCAAAUAGACAGUAACUUUGAUCCUGCCCCGAGUCUAUCCAGCCAAGGACCGACCAGAUCAAUGAAACCAUAACUUCCAAACUUGGUGUCAGGGAGGGUGGUGACGGUGAGUCACAGUGUUGGAAACAGGAGGAUUAAGUGGAAGUCUUCAUAUUUGUACUUUAUGUGCCAGUUUGAAGAAUUCUUCUCUACAUGUAGUGUUUUUGGAAAUAGUGAUGUGUAAAUUCUCAUAUUGCAGGAGCUGGCAAUAAAAUAAUCACCUACAGUGAUGCCAGUCAUCAAGCAUUGCUGCAAAGCUUCCAGUCAGAAUCUGAGUCCUUUGUUCUAAAGUGGACAGCUACAAGACACCUACUGUUUGGGAAAGCUUGAAGUACUGAAGACAGAUCAAAAUAAACAAAGCAAAGGGAGUGAAUAAGAAACAAUAGAAGGAAUAGAAGAAAAUUAAAACCAAAAUUUAAAACUGAAAAAUAAGUGACUGUAGAGAAAAAAGGAAGUAUGUUCUGUAUUUACAUGGGCAUCCAGAGGUCAGUAAGUAACUCUCAACAAUUAAAGAAUAAGGUAACAGAAACACUGACAUUCCCUAACAUUGACUUUACCAAGUAUUAUGAAAUUGGGAAGAUGAGAAAGAGAAUUCUGCACAGGAAAUGAGGAACGUGAUUGUAGAAAGAUAGGGAUAAGCAGGUAAUAAUUGCUGUCAUGUAUUUAUUUAUUUGAGGCAGGGUCUUGCUGUGUAGUUCAGGCUAUCCUUCAACUCACUAUGUAGCCAAAGCUGACUUAGAGAUUCUUCUGCCUCAGCUUCCUGAUUACUGGGAUUACAGUGUGUACCACCACACCUGACUCAAGGGCCUUUCAUUAAAAACCUUGUAGUACUAUUUAUCUUUUGGUAAAAAUUAAAGUGAAACCACAAAAUUAUAAGGAAUAAGAACUAUCAAGAACCAUCAAACUAAAUAUUCUAGUACUGAGAUAGAUUUUGCAGUUUGUUUUGCAGUAGCUCUCCAAGUUCAGAGAGCCAUGAAACACUAGAAUAAAUGAGAGAAUUAUACUGCCUACAUCCCAUAAGCAGUUUUAGCAAACAAGAAUUACUUCAGCUCCUGUGGAAGGGGCAAGAAAGACUGUUCCUUGAUUUCAGACACCUCAGUGUGUACCUUUGAGUGAAGAGAUUAUAGGUACUAUAGCAGAAAUCACCAAAUGAUUAUUUCCAGAAUGUGUUGAUGUUCUAAUGUAUAUUUACUAAAAACACUGAAAACAUAGGCAUGUGCUGCAGACAGAAUGUGCUCCCCCAAAUUCGUAUGCAGAAACCCGAGCCCUCUGUGUAUUUGGAGAGGAGGAUUCCAAGUAAUAAAAUGUACGGGAAGCUGGAAGGGUGGAAGCCUGAUCUCUUAGAAGGAUUGUCCUCCUCCCAACUGGAUCUACCACACAGGCAUCUCUCUCCUGGCACACACAGAAGACAUGGCCAUGUGAAGUCAGCAAUCUGUGGGCCAAGAAGAGGGCACUGCCUCACUGUGAUCUUGGGCUUCCAACCUCCAGAAUAGUGGAAAAAUAAAUUUCUACUGUUUAAGCCAUCCGAUCUGUUGUAUUUUGUUAUGGCAACCCAAGGAAAUUAAUAUAACAGAUUGCAUUGAGUAAAACUCCACCGACAUGAAAAACAACAUGAGAUUGCCCUUUGAUAUAGCAAUUCCACAUUUCUCUAUCUGUCCUUUAGGUUAUUAAAUUUAAUCUAGGAGUCAACAAACCUAGGGGCCAAAUCUAACCCAUCAUUUGGUUUUAUGCAUCCAGUGAGCUAAAAAUGGUUUGUAGGUUUUAAAUGAUUAGAGGAAAUUAAAAAGCAUAAUAUUUUAUAAUGAGAAUACUACAUGAAAUUCAAAUUUCAAGAUUUAUAAGUAAAGUUUUUAAUAUAGCCAUGCUCAUUUUAAAUGUAUUGUUUACGGCUAUUUUGUGCUUCAAUCACACGACUGAAUAGUUACGUCAGGUACCAUAUUGAUCAGAAAACUGAAAAUAUGGGGCUGGAGGUUUAGCUCAGCGGCAUAAGCGCCUGCCUUGCAAGCAGGCAGUCGUGAGUUUAAUCCCCGGUACCGAUAAAAAGAAAAAGAAAACUGAAAAUAUUUAUUCUUUUAAUUUUUAUUUUACUUUAAAGAGAAUAAAACCAUGGAAAAUAAAACAGAAUAAAACUAAUCAAAAUAAACCAGUAAAAGUGACACAGGUCUUCACAACUAUACAAAAUCAACAAUAGUUACCAUAAUGCCUUUUGUUAUCUUCAAAAUAGCUGCAAAUACCUUUGGACAGAGUAAAAAUCAAACAGAACAGAAUAGAAGAGAAAUAAUAAAAACAAAACAAUGGAUGAAAUAAAGGACUUCAAAACAUGUCAAUAGUAAAUCCAAACUGGCUACCAUAAUAUGUCUUGCUAUCUUUUAAAUAACUGCUUGUGACAUCAGAUGUUACAUAAAACAAAAGAGAAUAAAACCCAACCCAACAGAACAAUGAAAAUUACAUGGGUUCCAGGCUGGGAUUGCUUUCUACUGAGGUAUUUGAUUCUUCUCCCUAAGUAAAGAAUAACCCACCCUAAGUGAGGGGCCAUCCUUCCUUUAUUUCUUAAAUCCCCUUCCCAAGUAUGGGGACAUUAAAUUGAGCACAUGAUACAUGUUCAAUAUGCCUUUUCUAUUUUCAUGGUAAUAAAUAUCUUUUGAAUUGUUAGAUGAUGAAGCUUCUGUGAAUUAUAGGUGACAAUUCCUGGGAUAAACUCAUCUUCCAGCCACAUACAAAGAUUUGUUCAAAUAUUUAUUCUAGAUCCUCCAUCUGUUUUCAUUUGAAAUGUUCUUUUUUUAAUCUUUAUUUUCUUUUUCCCAAAUAAUAUGUCAGGUUUCAUGAUUCAUUUUUAUUUUUUCUCAUCUAUUGGCUUAAGUAUCAGGCUUUUGCCGAAGCAGCAAACUUCAAAGAACUUUCUUCUGUCAUGAUUGUUGAUAUGAAAGAAGACAGCAGAUUCAAACGACCACACAGUGGAUAAAUCAGUGUGAGAUUGGAGAAUACUAUUUAUUGUUCAAGACAAAAAUGAGAAUGUUGUGAAAAUUUUGUGUUCAGCUUUUGAUGAGAUGGAAUCCCUUACUGAAGGCAACCUAAAGCUUGUAAGAUGUCAUUACUAUUAGCAACAAAAAACUACCUUUCAAGGCCAGUUGUCACAUAUAUAAUUUAUAUAAGUCUUGCUUUGAUUAUUCUUAUUUUUAGCUAUCCAGGAGUAUGAUCAAUGAUUAGUAGUAGCAGUAGUACAGUAAUAUCACCUUUAUAUUCUCAGAGGAAAAUUCUGGUGAGUUGAAAAUUAACCCAACAUUUUCUAACAUCUCGGUAUAUAAUUACCAUAAAAUCCUCAAUAUGUAUAAUUUGGACUAGGAAGCACUGAUAAGAAUUAGAUUAUUUAUUCGUCUUAUUCUUGAUUUGCUCAAUUUAUAGUACUUUUUGAAAAUAACUUGAUGUCUCUCUUUCAUAAAAGCUGGUUAAAGCUAUAUCUGGUCUCUCACAUUGCUAAUAUAUUAUGAAUUGCUUAAGAGUAUCUACAAAGUAAUUAUUUGUGGCCCUGGGUUUUCUUUUUUUUUUCUUUUUCUUUUUCUUUUUUAUCAGUACCAGGGAUCGAACUCACAACUGCCUGCUUAUAAGGCAGGCGCUUAUGCCGCUGAGCUAAAUCCCCAGCCCCAGCCCUGGGUUUUCAUGACAUCUAUCAAUUAAUAUUUUUAUGUAACUGGCACUCUGGCUCUCGUCCCUGCUCUGCUGGUAUGUGUCUAUGUUUACUUGAUUUGUAUCCAAAUGUGUUUAGAUUCUUUGCUAUGUAGUUCAGGCUGGCCUUGAACUCACUAUGCUCGAAAUUGUGGCAAUCCUCCUGCCUCAGCAUUUGAAGUGCUGGGAUUAUAGGCAUGUACCAUCAUGCCUGGAUUAUAUCUUAUUUCUUGGACUCAAAAAUUGUAUGAUUCUAAAAAAGCUCCUGCCCAUUGUAAUUUUUUAAUUUUGCUUUAAAAAAAUGUCUAAGUAUAUUUACAUUUGUUUAACAUUAAUGUGGCCAUUUUGCAUAGAAUCAGAAUAUUGGAUUAUACACGUUAGCAAGUAAUAUUAAGUUAUAGUCUAAAUUUACUUUCAUUUCUAAUGAAAGGUAAAGAGUUGAAACUUUACCUAUAGCAAAAAAAAAAAAAAAAAAAAACACACAAACAAAAUGUCUUUUUCUUUCUUCCCUGUUUAAGCAAUUAAAAGAACUUUGUUUCUGUAGCUCAUGAUUUCUCUAGUUGGGGUCCCAGGUGGUGCGAGGAGCAGCACACAAAAGCAGCUCUUUAAUGGGCUGAGUUCCAAAACAGUGACUAGACGGAACCCCCAAGGGCAGGUGCAUCCAGACCCAGGAGCACAGGAGCCUGUUUUGGGCCCUCCGGGCAGGCGCUGUUCCAAAGUCCCAUGGCACGGAUGCAAAGCCAACUGCAUGGAUGAGCAGAAAAGCUCAUUCUGUGAACAGCUCCCUAACCAGGAGGAGGAAAGGUGAGCGGAGUUGAGCAGAUUUCUCUGGUUAUUUUUCCUAAAUUGCAAAUUCACCAAGUCACUGCAUUUCUCCAGGGAACAGAAAAAAGGUAAAGACAAAUACAACACAGUACUUACAGAAAAUUACCAGGAACAAGAAAAAGGUGUUCUUUCUAAAUCUGCACUCCUAACCGCUACUAGCCAUAUUCCCCAGAAAUAAACUUUUGUGAAUUAAAAGAAAAUGCCAAGAUGUGUCAUGUAAAGACAUUUAAUAUAACUUUUCAAGUAAUUUGUCUAUAUCGAAACCAGUCUUGUUUUUGCAUUUGAAGAUGAUCUUUGCAAAGAAUCGCAUGCAUGUGUUUAACAUUUACCUUCAGUAUUAACUAUGUUGAUAUUACUGUUGCUUACUUUAACAUUUUAGUUUUAACAUUUAUAUUUGGAGGAAUUAAAAAACUUCAAAGAAGCUAUAACUCAUUUCCACAGUCUGAGUUCUUGUGAGUGUUUAGUGAGAACCUUCAGAAAGGGCUUAAUGCUAUUUGGGAAUUAAAAUAGUACUUGUGAGAAUUACCUCUAUGGAAAUACAAAUUGGUAUACAAUGUAAAGUGUAGUUUGAUAGAAUGAGCAGAUUCGAAUUUUUUUCUAAGACCCAAACUAAAAUAAUAAUUAAAUAGUAACUAUCAAUAUAAGAACCACAACCUUAAAUACAGUUUGACUUUCAUGACAAUAGAAGUUAAAGAAAGGAGUAUUGUUCUCACUGUUUUGUUUUGUUCAAUUUAUUGGGUUUUUUAAAAAUUUUAAUGCUCUGUUUUGAUUGGUUUUAUUCUGUUUUGUUUUGUUUGGCAUUGGUAGUCUGAUGGUAUGGACAGCGAGUGUGAAUUCAGCAAGACACGCUAUGGUAGCCAUUGUUGACUUUCUUACUGUCUUGUUUUGAAGUUCUGUUCCACUUUUAUUGCUUUGUUUUGAUUGACUUUAUUCAGUAUUUUUUGGUGAGUUUUGUUCUUUAUAAAAUAAAAUAACAAAUAUCUUUUCUGUCUAGUGGUUAUGCUAAUACGGCACUAAUCUCAACCUCCAGCCCCUGUCAAUCCGCACAACUGAAUCAUUAGCUCUUUUGAUUUCAAAGGGCCAACACUGUGAACCUGAAUGUUCAUUGACUAGUGUAAAACACACUGUCCUGGAAACAGCAAUGUGAGUUCUGCCCUCCAACACGGUAAAGUCACACCUGAUGGCAGACUCACAUCCUGCUAACGCAUGACAAUAACAGCACUUAGAAACCGCGUGAUACGCAGUAGAGGACAUUUUAUCUGCUGUAGGAUGUAUGAACUACCAAUAUAUAUUUUGGUGUAUUAUAAAAUACUCGGGGCUGGGGAUUUAGCUCAGCGGCAUAAGCGUCUGCCUUACAAGCAGGCAGUCGUGACUUUGAUCCCCGGUACCGAUAAAAAGGAAAAAGACAAAAAAAAAAAAAAAAAAAGACAGGAGAGUGAAUAAAGUCUGCAAACAUUAAUUUUUGGUGUCUUCUUAAAAUGUCAAAUCUGUAAGAACCCAUAAGCCAAAUAAUAUUAGUUCGAAUAACCUCAAAUAAUACUAAAUUGAACCAAAUGAAGCAUUAUUUCUGUAGGUCACAACAGUCAAUAUUGGCAAUUUCAUAUGGCUUAGCCUAGUAAAAAACUACAUUAAUUUUCUUUUGCUGUAUAACGUUACAAGAAAUUUAGUUCUUCAACACUCAUUUUUUUCGUCCCUAUGACCAGUCUCUCUCUCUCUCUCUCUCUCUCUCUCUCUCUCUCUCUCUCUCUGUCUGCGUCUCUUCUCUCUUUCACUGAUAUAUACUUUCAAGGAGUUAAAACAGUGAAAUAUUUUUAUAAAACAGGAGGAGACUUAAUUUUAUCAAAAUUUCCCAAGCUACUUGACAUCUCAGUAUUUAUUGGUCUUAGUACGGACUACAGUUUGUUGAGUUUCCUAAGUAGAUCUUUGUCUUUAGGAAGUGAGAGAUCAAGGCUGUGUCAAUAAUUAUAGAUUGGAAGAGGUCUUGCAAAUUAUCUAAUCCAAAUCCAUUGUUCUACAGAGAAAACUCAGCUUCAAAAAAAGGCAUCCAUUGGAGCCCAUAAAGCUAAGAGAGAAGAAAAUUUCAGAAAUAUCUUGAACAAAUACCCUGAGUUGAGAAAAAAAAUCAGUUACCAGUUUAGGAACAAAAUUUGGACAUGACUUUAGGUGUUUGAAGAGUUAACUGUAAACUUGAAAGCUAACUAUUUUCAAAGCAAGGAAGGCUGGAAAUGUUGAUUUUUUUUUUUUUUUUUUGCUUUUUAGUUUUAUAAAAUACAUAAAUACAGGGAAAAUUAAUAAUCAGUUUUAUGUAGUGAUCACUUAUCUCACACAAGGACCAAUUCAUGACCAUCUGUAUCACCCCUCCCCCAUGUCUCCUUUUCUUCCAAUCUUUAGAUUAUUUUGAAACAAAUCUUGGUUGCAAUAUCAUUUCAUGCAAAAUAUUUUCGUAUAUAGCUUCAAAACAUAAAACCUUAGAGAGUGUUCAACUGUCUUGUAGACAAGAGGAAGGCUUUGAGUAUUUUUAACCUGGGCAGCAACAAGGUUGGGAACAGAAGAGGCAAAUGGUGACAAUCCAAGCAGAAUGGAUUGGAGCAGAAGUAGACAGGUAAGUGCUUAAUAUGCCAUGUUACCGCUGUCACGUGAGGUACUGUAGAGUCGUUUCCUGUUUUCCAGAUCUAAAGUACACUGUAUGGUUGCACAUAUUAUUGUAUGGUGAGCAGAGGAACUCUUGAAGAUCAUUAUGUAAAAUAACAACCCUAGGUGUGUUCAUACCACCUUGUUUUGAAGGCCUGUAUUGUCAGUGUUCUGGGCUCUUUGCUAUGAUUGUUUAUAUGUCUUUUUUGUUUCAUGUUUUUCUAGGAAUUUAUUUUGUUUUGUCUUGGUCUGUUUUGUUUUCCCCUCUAAUACAGAAAGGAUAGGUAUACAUGUAGAGACUCACGCAUGCUUAGUACUUCUAAAACGUUUAUGAGAAUCAAUAACAUAAUGCAUGAUGAAAUGAACAGCUACUUUGAAGAAAAAGAGACAUUAAGGUACCCAGUGCUGACUCCGUAGCGUCUUGCUGUGAAAUCCAGCAAUACUAUUAUUCUUUGUUCAGAGUGAUGUUAGUCUGUUUUGUUUUGUUUAAUUCAACAUACAUGAAGGUAUGGACAGCUAUUUGGAAAAAAUGAGAGACAUUAUGGCAGCCAUUGUUGACUUCCCUAUUGUCUGGUCUUGAAGACCUAAAAGGCCUUCAUCAUCCUGUUCUGAUCAGUGCUAUACUAUUUCAUUUUGUAUGAAUUCACUGUAUGUGAAGAUACGGACAACUCUUUGGAAGAAAACAAGAGACAAUAUCAUAGACAGUGAAGAUCUUCAGUUUUCUUGCUCUGAAAUCUGUCUCUUACAUUGUUAUCUUAUGAUCUGUUUUGUUUUGUUUAAUUUUACCCUCUUAAAAAAAAAGUACGCUGUAUGGUUUCCUGUGCUGGUGUUUAAUGCUAGAAAUAAUUUAUACAUUGUUAGUCAAUGGAGAUGUUUCCCUUCCAGAAGUUUUAUCAUCUCUAUCUUUCAGUUUCACGCUUUGCAUCUUGUUCAUUGUAUGGCAAUAAUAGGAGAACUUACAUAUUAAAUAUUCAUCUUUUAUUUU
Molecule: long non-coding RNA, 18984 nt
Organism: Cavia porcellus (domestic guinea pig)
Lineage: Eukaryota; Metazoa; Chordata; Mammalia; Rodentia; Caviidae
Exons: 2
Source: RefSeq, a predicted model, not a curated record